UCCUGUACAGCCUGCUCUGCAUGAAUUACUCUGUCUCCCUUGCAAUUCCCCUGUCUUGAUAAAUCGGCUCUGUCUAGGCAGCAGGCAAGGUGGAUCCACUGGGCGGUGACCUGACCCCCACAAGGUAGUGUGAGUUUUGAAUGGGAUAAUGCAAGUGUUGCUUAAAUAGCAGGGCCAACCUGGUUUACUGGGGCUGAGUUUCACGGAAUAUGGGACUUUCAGUGCUAAAAUCAAGAAAGUUCCGGGCAAACUGGGACGACUGGUCACCCUAUGCUUAAAAUCAGGCGUCAGCAAACUGACGGAGCUGAAAUGAGCCUGCCGCCCGUUUGUAAAUAAAGUUUUAUUAGAACACAACCAUGCGCAUUCAUUUAUGGACAUAUUGUCAGUGGCUGCUUUUGUACUACAAGGACAGAGUUGAGUUGUUGCAACAGAGGCUAUGGUGUUGCAACAGUUAAGGCCUACAGUAUUCACUGUUUGGUCCUUUAAGAAAAAGUUUGGCAGCUUGAACUUUUCCACCAUUUGACAGCAAAUCAGUGCUUCUGUGAGUUGUACAAAAGGUUGCAGGCUGCAUCUAGGAUCACCAAUAAGCUACUGGCUGUUAAUGAGAGACAGGGCCUGAGUGAAAAGGAGAGGUCAGGGUGAGCUUCUGGAGAGUGGGAAAGAUUCUGUGCUUGGCCAAGCUUUAAUCAGUCAGGCCCCUGAGUCCUCUCCUAGGCCCAUCUGUGCACUUCCUUUUAAAAUCCAGUUCUGGGCCGGGCGUGGUGGCUCACACCUGUAAUCCCAGCACUUUGGGAGGCCAAGGCGGGAGAAUCACCUGAGGUCGGGAGUUCAAGACCAGCCUGACCAACAUAGAGAAACACCAUCUCUACUAAAAAUACAAAAUUAGCUGGGCGUGGUGGCGCAUGCCUGUAAUCCCAGCUACUCAGGAGGCUGAGGCAGGAGAAUCACUUGAACUCAGGAGGCGGAGGUUGCAGUGAGCCAGAUCGCGCCAUUGCACUCCAGCCUGGGCAACAAGAGCAAAACUCCAUCUCAAAAUAAAUAAAUAAAUAAAAUCCAGUUCUAACAAGAACUCUGCUAAGUCAGCUUAGCAACAACCCUCCCCCCACCACUCCAUAUCUGAUCACCUCCCAUAUCUGAUCACCUCCUAUAUCUGAUCACGUUCCUCAUCUGCCACCAUCCCCCCGGUGAUGUCUGAGCACCCUGGCCUGCCUCCAGUAUGAAUCCUGUUAGGUCAGUGUAGAAAAUGACCGAGAACCCAUCCCCAGCAGUCAGUUUAGCCAGAAUUCCCCUUCCCCUGAUGUUUCCUCUUGGUAAUUUUCCAGCUGCAGAUAUCCAACCCUGUUCCCUGGCUAUCAGCUCCCACUUGCCCCUGCUGUACUCAUAGUUGAGCCCAAAUGCCCCCACUGCAAAAUCCCAUAGCUGCAGUCCCUGCAGUGAUUGAGAGAGUCCCACUCCCCUUGAACAAAGUCUUCCUUACCAUGCUUUAACAAGGGUCAUUGAAUCUUUUUUUUUUUUUUUGAGACGGAGUCUUACUCUGUCACCCAGGCUGGAGUGCAGUAGCGUGAUCUCAGCUCACUGCAACCUCCCUCCGCUUCCCGGGUUCAAGCAAUUCUCCUGCCUCAG
Molecule: long non-coding RNA, 1623 nt
Filed under: Homo sapiens (human)
Lineage: Eukaryota; Metazoa; Chordata; Mammalia; Primates; Hominidae
Description: HSALNT0194600
Source: RNAcentral